GCCGGUGGCCGCGGGCGGGGCUCCUCUCCGGCGGGUGCCGGAGUCUGGGGGCCGCGGCUUCCCCCUCCCCGCCCGCCGAGGCGCUGGCCCCUCCUUCCCCCGCCGCCCCCGUGCCCGCCGCUGCUGCCGCUGUCAAAGAUAAAACCGGGCCAUUGCCUGCAGGAGCCCUGGCAGCAGGCGAUCGAGCGGUGAGGAGCCUCGGGCGCGGCCUCGCCUCCCCGGCCCGGCUCCCGCGUCAGCACCGUGGACAGCGCAGACCCCCUCUCAGGGACCCCUCGGCUCGCAGGAACACUCUACGGGUUUCGGCGAUCUCAUCAGUACCGCGGACAGCGCCCAGGCCCCCGCUGGCCUUGACCGCUCUUCAAAUCAGCACCGCGGACAGCCCCCCUGGACCAGCCCAGCAGCAGCCAAGGACUGGUCAGAACGCCCGGAAGAUGGCCACUGAGGUCCACAACCUUCAGGAGCUCAGGCGAAGCGCUUCACUGGCCACCAAGGUCUUUAUCCAGAGAGACUACAGUGACGGCACCGUCUGUCAGUUCCAGACCAAAUU
This 550-nucleotide long non-coding RNA is filed under the name Rattus norvegicus (Norway rat). RNAcentral describes it as "long non-coding RNA NONRATT001744". The record is from RNAcentral. Lineage: Eukaryota; Metazoa; Chordata; Mammalia; Rodentia; Muridae.